Molecule: ribosomal RNA, 2890 nt
Filed under: Acinetobacter baumannii
Lineage: Bacteria; Pseudomonadati; Pseudomonadota; Gammaproteobacteria; Moraxellales; Moraxellaceae
Description: bacterial LSU rRNA
Rfam family: Bacterial large subunit ribosomal RNA
Source: RNAcentral
UCAAGUAAUUAAGUGCAUGUGGUGGAUGCCUUGGCAGUCAGAGGCGAUGAAAGACGUGAUAGCCUGCGAAAAGCUCCGGGGAGGCGGCAAAUAUCCUUUGAUCCGGAGAUGUCUGAAUGGGGGAACCCACCUACUUUAAGGUAGGUAUUGCAACAUGAAUACAUAGUGUUGCAAGGCGAACGAGGGGAAGUGAAACAUCUCAGUACCCUUAGGAAAAGAAAUCAAUUGAGAUUCCCUCAGUAGCGGCGAGCGAACGGGGAUCAGCCCAUUAAGUUAUGUGUGUUUUAGUGGAACGCUCUGGGAAGUGCGAACGUAGAGGGUGAUAUUCCCGUACACGAAAGGGCACACAUAAUGAUGACGAGUAGGGCGAGGCACGUGAAACCUUGUCUGAAUAUGGGGGGACCAUCCUCCAAGGCUAAAUACUCCUGACUGACCGAUAGUGAACCAGUACCGUGAGGGAAAGGCGAAAAGAACCCCUGUGAGGGGAGUGAAAUAGAUCCUGAAACCGCAUGCAUACAAGCAGUGGGAGCACCUUCGUGGUGUGACUGCGUACCUUUGUAUAAUGGGUCAGCGACUUAUAUUCAGUAGCGAGGUUAACCGUAUAGGGGAGCCGUAGAGAAAUCGAGUCUUAAAAGGGCGUUUAGUUGCUGGGUAUAGACCCGAAACCAGGCGAUCUAUCCAUGAGCAGGUUGAAGGUUGGGUAACACUAACUGGAGGACCGAACCCACUGUCGUUGAAAAGCCAGGGAUGACUUGUGGAUAGGGGUGAAAGGCUAAUCAAGCCUGGUGAUAGCUGGUUCUCCCCGAAAGCUAUUUAGGUAGCGCCUCGGACGAAUACCAUAGGGGGUAGAGCACUGUUUCGGCUAGGGGGUCAUCCCGACUUACCAAACCGAUGCAAACUCCGAAUACCUAUGAGUACUAUCCGGGAGACAGACUGCGGGUGCUAACGUCCGUAGUCAAGAGGAAAACAAUCCAGACCGCCAGCUAAGGCCCCAAAAUCAUAGUUAAGUGGGAAACGAUGUGGGAAGGCAUAGACAGCUAGGAGGUUGGCUUAGAAGCAGCCACCCUUUAAAGAAAGCGUAAUAGCUCACUAGUCGAGUCGGCCUGCGCGGAAGAUGUAACGGGGCUAAAACUAUGUGCCGAAGCUGCGGAUGUAUACUUUGUAUACGUGGUAGGGGAGCGUUCUGUAAGCCGAUGAAGGUGUGUUGAGAAGCAUGCUGGAGGUAUCAGAAGUGCGAAUGCUGACGUGAGUAACGACAAAACGGGUGAAAAAACCCGUUCGCCGAAAGACCAAGGGUUCCAGUCCAACGUUAAUCGGGGCUGGGUGAGUCGACCCCUAAGGCGAGGCCGAAAGGCGUAGUCGAUGGGAAAAUGGUUAAUAUUCCAUUACUUCUGUGUAAUGCGAUGAGAGGACGGAGAAGGCUAAAUCAGCCUGGCGUUGGUUGUCCAGGUGAAAGGAUGUAGGCAUGUAUCUUAGGCAAAUCCGGGGUACUCUAUGCUGAGAUCUGAUAGCAAGCUGUACUUGUACAGCGAAGUGGUUGAUGCCAUGCUUCCAGGAAAAGUCUCUAAGCUUCAGUUACACAGGAAUCGUACCCGAAACCGACACAGGUGGUCAGGUCGAGUAGACCAAGGCGCUUGAGAGAACUCUGCUGAAGGAACUAGGCAAAAUGGUACCGUAACUUCGGGAGAAGGUACGCUGUUGUUGGUGAUGGAACUCGCUUCCUGAGCUGACGACAGCCGCAGAAACCAGGCCGCUGCAACUGUUUAUUAAAAAACAUAGCACUCUGCAAACACGAAAGUGGACGUAUAGGGUGUGAUGCCUGCCCGGUGCUGGAAGGUUAAUUGAUGGGGUUAGCGUAAGCGAAGCUCUUGAUCGAAGCCCCAGUAAACGGCGGCCGUAACUAUAACGGUCCUAAGGUAGCGAAAUUCCUUGUCGGGUAAGUUCCGACCUGCACGAAUGGCAUAAUGAUGGCGGCGCUGUCUCCAGCAGAGGCUCAGUGAAAUCGAAAUCGCUGUGAAGAUGCAGUGUACCCGCGGCUAGACGGAAAGACCCCGUGAACCUUUACUGCAGCUUGACACUGAACUUUGACCUUACUUGUGUAGGAUAGGUGGGAGGCUUUGAAGCUGGAACGCUAGUUCCAGUGGAGCCGUCCUUGAAAUACCACCCUGGUAAUGUUGAGGUUCUAACUCUGUCCCGUGAUCCGGGACGAGGACCGUGUCUGGUGGGUAGUUUGACUGGGGCGGUCUCCUCCUAAAGAGUAACGGAGGAGUACGAAGGUGCGCUCAGCGUGGUCGGAAAUCACGCGUAGAGUAUAAAGGCAAAAGCGCGCUUAACUGCGAGACCCACAAGUCGAGCAGGUACGAAAGUAGGUCUUAGUGAUCCGGUGGUUCUGUAUGGAAGGGCCAUCGCUCAACGGAUAAAAGGUACUCUGGGGAUAACAGGCUGAUACCGCCCAAGAGUUCAUAUCGACGGCGGUGUUUGGCACCUCGAUGUCGGCUCAUCUCAUCCUGGGGCUGAAGCAGGUCCCAAGGGUAUGGCUGUUCGCCAUUUAAAGAGGUACGCGAGCUGGGUUUAGAACGUCGUGAGACAGUUCGGUCCCUAUCUACCGUGGGCGCUGGAAAUUUGAGAGGAUCUGCUCCUAGUACGAGAGGACCAGAGUGGACGAACCUCUGGUGUACCGGUUGUGACGCCAGUCGCAUCGCCGGGUAGCUAUGUUCGGAAGGGAUAACCGCUGAAAGCAUCUAAGCGGGAAGCCUACCUCAAGAUAAGAUUUCCCUAGGACUUUAUGUCCUCUAAAGAGCCGUUCGAGACUAGGACGUUGAUAGGUUGGAUGUGGAAGCAUAGUGAUAUGUGAAGCUGACCAAUACUAAUUGCUCGUGAGGCUUGACUA